AGGAUGAACGCUGGCGGCGUGCCUAAUACAUGCAAGUCGAGCGGUAAGGCCCUUCGGGGUACACGAGCGGCGGACGGCUGAGUAACGCGUAGGAACGUACCCCAAACUGAGGGAUAACUGCCCGAAAGGGUAGCUAAUACCGCAUAUGGUCUUCGGAUUAAAGCUUCGGCGGUUUGGGAACGGCCUGCGUAUGAUUAGCUUGUUGGUGAGGUAAAAGCUCACCAAGGCGACGAUCAUUAGCUGGUCUGAGAGGAUGAUCAGCCAGACUGGGACUGAGACACGGCCCAGACUCCUACGGGAGGCAGCAGUAGGGAAUUUUCCACAAUGGGCGAAAGCCUGAUGGAGCAACGCCGCGUGCAGGAUGAAGGCCUUCGGGUUGUAAACUGCUUUUAUUGGUGAAGAUUAUGACGGUAGCCGAUGAAUAAGGGUCUGCUAACUACGCGCCAGCAGCCGC
Molecule: ribosomal RNA, 454 nt
Filed under: uncultured bacterium
Lineage: Bacteria
Description: SSU rRNA
Rfam family: Bacterial small subunit ribosomal RNA
Source: RNAcentral